Molecule: long non-coding RNA, 1172 nt
Filed under: Zonotrichia albicollis (white-throated sparrow)
Lineage: Eukaryota; Metazoa; Chordata; Aves; Passeriformes; Passerellidae
Description: lncRNA (ENSZALG00000013666.1)
Source: RNAcentral
AAUUGGUUAUUUGUGAUCUCUAAAGACUUGCUUUCUUUUCAGGGAUAUUUCUCUGUAGCUCAAACUACAGUGGAAAGCCAAACUGUAAGAAAAUUACAGACUCUAGGACAGCCUGUUUCAAUUUUUAUGGAAAAUAAAUAUGGAACUUUAGCAGCUUUGGGAUUCAAAGCAGGGAACUUGUUAAAAAUCACUGAAAUGUAAACUAACCAUCUCUGAUGGUUUUAAAAGCAAUUACUCUGAAAUUCUGGAUAAAUGCCGUUCUAUUUGUGCCUGCUACCUCAUUUCCAUCUGCAGCACUGCCAGACCAGCUUUGAAAAACAGUCCUGAACACAGACACAGCGGAGUAGUUCAGUGUGAUGGACAAGUGCAUCCCACACCAAGUUCUCAGUGUAUUUGUGAAACUUGUGAUCACUGUCUGGUGACCUCCUGCACAUCAGAAGGCCUGUGAUUUAGCAAAUGCACGUGGAUUUCUCAGCUGUUCUGGAAGGUCCCAGCUAAGCUGGCAAAUUAAAAUUGGAGUUCUUCCUUGUGCAGCAGGACAAACCAAGAUUUUUAAGCUUAUCAGAAUUUUCUGGGUCAUCGUGACACAUAGAAGGAUUUUGUUCAGCUCUGACCAGCUUUGCUCCAGAACAGGUUUCAAACUGACCCAAAUUCAGGGAAGAUCAGUGGAGCAGUGAGAUUGUCUUGCCCAAAGAGAGAGAAAGGGCCUGAUCUCCAGUUCAGCUCCGGCAAGAACUGAAAGGAUCAUCUUUGCAAGGUUUUUUCUCAAUAGAGCUGUGUGGAUGUGGGGAUAUUGGAGGAGCUCUCCCCUUCGCUGAAUGAUUGAGGACUGUGAGCCCAGAAUGUGAAGGACACCUGCUCCAGCAGGAAUAGCUGGGAUCAAAAUCCAAGCUGUAGAGGCUGAAACAGAAGUAAUCAAAUCUCAUUUGUCAAGGCUGGUUUCUUAUUUUGAGCAGCUGAGGGGACUAUUUUUUUCCUGCAGCUUAGCAGGUGUGUUGAAGGACUUUCAUUUUGUGAGUUGUAUGGUAGAGGACAGAGACAGGACACCAGACUGGACUAAUGAAUAUUCUGAACCAUUUUGGAAAUCCCAUUCCUUCUUUAUUCCUCUUUAUUGAUUAUUUCCAGCAAUUUAUAGCUGCUUACAGCCUCAGAAGGCUUUAAUUGUUUGUGAU